UAAAAACCUCACUUUAUAUGCUAAUAAUGUAGCUCUGCUAAUCGUUGCUAAGAGUGGGGUGAAGAUGAAAUUUCUGUAGCCUGCUGGAAUUGUGUCUGUCUGUCUGUGUGUUGGAGGUUUGAAUAUUUCUGGAGGGUUUUGUAUGCUGGUGCUUUAUUUUUGGAGCAUGGCAAUGUGUUCCUCUGGCCUUCUCCCCUCUGCUCUCAGUGCCCAAACACAGGGUUUGGGUUUGGUUUUGGAUGCUGCCAUGCCAGUGGGAUAAGUAAAUGGGAUAAGUGAGGGGUUCCCCCCUGCUGCAGUCUGAUUGUGUCUCCUGUGGGCUUGCAGAGCUCUCCAGCCCCAGCAGAAGAGGAUGGCAGCACAGCAGGGAAGCAGAUGUUAGCAAAUUCUGCCUGGUGUGUCCUGCAAACACUCAUCUGUGAGACCCUCUCACUCUGAGCUAUUUGCCACAGGCUGGUUUAUGGCUUUUUAUUCAGCAAAUAUCUAUCCAUAAUGCUCAAGGAGCAAGUUAGUACAAGUGGCCUGAUAGUUUAGAGUCAGUUCUUCAGUGGUCUAAGCCCACACUUUGUGACCUCUGGGCAAGAGUCCCUGGGCUCUGCUGAGUUGUGCUAGGACAGAAACAGCCAUAAAGGCAUCAGUCUUGAACCCUUCUUUUCUCUUUUUUUGGCAGCCUGAGCCACCAGCUUAUAACAAGUGGUGGCUGGGCAACCUGCUGAGCCAGGCAAAGCGAGGAGCAGGGCCAGGAGAGGCUCCCAGGGGAAUUGCCUGUGGGAAUGGACGUGAGCAGGGCAUCAGCAGCAGCUCCUGCCAGCAGCUCUCCAAGGCAAGGGAGCCUCCUCACAAGAGCUGGGGCCAAGUGGCCCAGAAAUCCCCGAGAACCUGUCACCAAGUGGCCAAGGGUUCUCAGAAGAGCACUGGCAAACCAGCCAAGAUGUCUCACAAAAGCUCUGGCCUAAGGCUCAAGGAUUCCCACAAGAGCUCUGGCCAAGCAGUGAAGGACUCUGAGAAGAGCUGGAGCCAAGUGGCCGAGCGUUUUCCCAAGAGCUCUGGCAAAGUGGCCAAGGAGUUUCACACCGACUCUGUCCAAGGUGCCAAGGUUUCAGAGAAGAGCUUUGGCAAAGAGCACAAGACUUCUCACAAAAGCCAAGUGGCCAAGGACCCUCAGAAGAGCUGUGGCCAAGUGGCCAAGGACUGCCACAAGAGCUCUGCCCCCCUGGCAAAGCAUUCCCAGAAAAGCAGUGGCCAGGUGGAUCAGGCCCCUCAGGCCAAGCAGAGCUGCCUGAAGCCCUCUGGGCUCACCAAAGGGGUCAAGCCCAAGGAGCCUGUGGCUGCCAAAAGGCCUGGAGAGCCCCUGGAGCACAACAAAUCCAAAAGAGUGCGGAAGGGCGAGAGCAAGCCUGGUCCUGUGGGGGUCACAGAGCACUCCUGCAAGGCUCAGCUGGAAGCCAGAGAGGUAAAGAAGCCAAAAAGCACUGAGAGUGAAGACCCAAAGCUGGCACUUCAGAAGCCCUGUGAGGAGAGAAAGGACAAGGGCUCCCCCCAGGCCAGCACCAAAGGCUUUCUGGACCCUGAGCUCCCAGGAGAUGCUCAGGAACGUGAUGCUCUCACCCCCAAUGGCCACAGGUUUGGGGAUUUGCACAGAAAGAAAGUGCCCUCACCUCCUGAGGAGAAGUUGUUGUUGCCUCCAAGGAAGCCAGACUUGAAGAGGAAAGAAAUGAAGAGUCCUGAGGAGUCCCCUAAAAAGAAGAAGAGGGAAGACAAGGGGGAUACUCCCAGGAAGAAAAAGGAGUGA
RNAcentral lists this long non-coding RNA (1792 nucleotides) under Ficedula albicollis (Collared flycatcher). RNAcentral's name for it is "lncRNA (ENSFALG00000024125.1)". Lineage: Eukaryota; Metazoa; Chordata; Aves; Passeriformes; Muscicapidae. The record is from RNAcentral.